RNAcentral lists this unclassified non-coding RNA (1185 nucleotides) under Hevea brasiliensis (rubber tree). Lineage: Eukaryota; Viridiplantae; Streptophyta; Magnoliopsida; Malpighiales; Euphorbiaceae. The record is from RNAcentral.
GAUUUCAAUGUUUAUGUCCAACAUUUUGAAUAGAAGCAGUCACUGCACUAAGGAUAUAAGUUAGGGCCUGACUGAUAAGUUUAACUUAUUACAGUUGGAUCUUAUUGCUGGUGACUUAUAGCUACAUGAUCUGGAAUCUUUUUUUUGUCAUAUUCUCAAAAACUUAAAUGCUAUAUGAUCAAGUACCCAACACAGAACUUAGGAUUGUGAUUAAAUGUAUUACUGGGAUAUUAUUUUGCAGUUUUUCAAAACUUCUCGUCUUUUUUAGAUGAGUUCCAACUUUGAUGCAUAUAACCCUUUUGGAGAUUUUUUUUAUCCUCCUCUCAUAUCAUGAUUUCUCCUGUGAGCAGAUCAUAGAUUUUCAACCAGUUGAAUUCCUUAAUGUGAAUGCUUUUGUUUCUGAUUGAAACUGUUUUUCAUUUUGGAGUCAUCUUCUUUUUUAAUUUUUUACCUUUCGUAAAUAAGAAAUCCAAGCCAAUAUAAAACAACUAUCAAUACAGAUAAAGACAAGACUGAAAAAAAUAUUGCUUCAAUUAGUCUGAACAACACUUAAAGGGCACUCCUCUGAAAACCCAUGGAGCACAAGCUGUCAAAGAAGCCUAAAAAACCACCUUGUCUUAUGACAGAUUAAGGGACAGAGUCUGAUUUUGGACAGCACAUGUUCCUCUCCAAUCAAAUACUCCAUAAUGGUGCAAAAACAAAAAAAAUAAAGAAGAAAGCGAGGAAGUUUUAACAUUGUUUCACUCACCGAACAUCUGUUAUAUCGGAAAAACCAAAGUGUUCAGACUCCACAUAUCAAGUUCUCGUCUAACAGACCAAAAUGGCAGUUUCAAAUUUCCCAUGCUACCACACAAUGUAAAAACAAAUAGAAAUUAGACUCUUUGGGCUUGUAACACAUGAUAUACCAAAUAAAGAGAUAAAACCUUGUUAAGCCUCCUUUUCUGCAACAAAACAUCAGUAUUCACCUUUUGGAGAAUCACAGGUCGAGCAAAAUCUUGCACCUGGAGUGAUAGCUUUAUUUUGCUUCAUUUCAAAAUCUUAGGUAUAAUUUUCUUUUGUUUACUGUUCCGUUCCUUGGCCAAUAUCAAUUCAGUGGAGAAAGAAGAACACAGAAUGUCAAGCAUACCAGUUUUUGUGCAAAAUAUUCAACUAAAUUGUGGUCAUUCUUCAGAAAGAACUGAUUUG